GUAACGGGGUGUUAGGGCACGACACCGGAGAGGGAGCCUGAGAAACGGCUACCACAUCCAAGGAAGGCAGCAGGCGCGCAAAUUACCCAAUCCCGACACGGGGAGGUAGUGACAAUAAAUAACAAUACAGGGUUCUUUUGGAUCUUGUAAUUGGAAUGAGUACAAUUUAAAUCUCUUAACGAGGAACAAUUGGAGGGCAAGUCUGGUGCCAGCAGCCGCGGUAAUUCCAGCUCCAAUAGCGUAUAUUAAAGUUGUUGCAGUUAAAAAGCUCGUAGUUGAAUUUCGGGAUUAGUACGCUGGUCGUGCCUUCGGUACGUACUGGUGUUACUGGUUCCUACCUUCUGACGAACCUUCAUGUCAUUAAUUUGGUGUGGCGGGGAAUCAGGACUGUUACUUUGAAAAAAUUAGAGUGUUUAAAGCAGGCUCGCGCUUGAAUACAUUAGCAUGGAAUAAUGAAAUAGGACGUUGACCCUAUUUUGUUGGUUUCUAGGAUUGACGUAAUGAUUAAUAGGGAUAGUUGGGGGCAUUAGUAUUCAAUUGUCAGAGGUGAAAUUCUUGGAUUUAUUGAAGACUAACUACUGCGAAAGCAUUUGCCAAGGAUGUUUUCAUUAAUCAAGAACGAAAGUUAGGGGAUCGAAGACGAUCAGAUACC
Molecule: ribosomal RNA, 652 nt
Filed under: Glomeromycotina sp. AB-2014
Lineage: Eukaryota; Fungi; Glomeromycota
Description: SSU rRNA
Rfam family: Eukaryotic small subunit ribosomal RNA
Source: RNAcentral